Molecule: long non-coding RNA, 661 nt
Organism: Sabethes cyaneus
Lineage: Eukaryota; Metazoa; Arthropoda; Insecta; Diptera; Culicidae
Exons: 3
Source: RefSeq, a predicted model, not a curated record
CUUCGUCGCCAAUUUGUGCGGACGAUUCGUCGAUGGGUUUCCUGGUCAAGUCUUACACUUGUUUAUUAAAUUACGUUUAGUUAGUGAGUAAUCAAAAGAGUGACAGCAAGCUCCCUAACACCAAUCGACUGUUUGACUUGUUGUUCUGUGCUCAAGAACGAAACGUGAAAAAUCAAACCACGAGCUUAUUCGCUGAUUAAAACUUUCUCGUGUCAUCACACUACACUAUCGAAUCACUUCCGUGAACGCCAGUGAAAUCUACUGCUUUCAAGAUGUGUAUGAACUGUGGCACCAUAGUCGUAUGCUGCAUACUUUUCGCUAUUGCGAUCGCCGUCGCCAUAUACUACGGUGUUUUCAACGUCGAUAAAUCAGCGCCCGAGGUGGGAGAAUUCAUCAAAAAAACCGGUGACCAGAUCAAGUACGGUAUCAAAGAUGGGAUAAAGAAGCUGGACGAUUAGCGAAGAGAGCGAAUGUAUUACAAACGAUAACAAUACAUUACAGGAACAGGUGCCGAUUCAAAACAGCAACUUACGGCUGAGAUAUUUAAUUAAUAUUAUUUACUGUGGAUCAGCGAAGCAUGACGUUUAAAAUCUCGAGUAUACAUGAUCUGAUGUUAGCAACGUACAUAAUUUAUUCAAUUUUAACAAAAAGAUUAUGAGAA